RNAcentral lists this ribosomal RNA (497 nucleotides) under uncultured bacterium. RNAcentral describes it as "partial 16S ribosomal RNA". It matches the Rfam family "Bacterial small subunit ribosomal RNA", at positions 28 to 507 of the family's 1533-position model. The record is from RNAcentral.
GAUGAACGCUGGCGGCGUGCCUAAUACAUGCAAGUCGAGCGAACAGACGAGGAGCUUGCUCCUCUGACGUUAGCGGCGGACGGGUGAGUAACACGUGGAUAACCUACCUAUAAGACUGGGAUAACUUCGGGAAACCGGAGCUAAUACCGGAUAAUAUAUUGAACCGCAUGGUUCAAUAGUGAAAGACGGUUUUGCUGUCACUUAUAGAUGGAUCCGCGCCGCAUUAGCUAGUUGGUAAGGUAACGGCUUACCAAGGCAACGAUGCGUAGCCGACCUGAGAGGGUGAUCGGCCACACUGGAACUGAGACACGGUCCAGACUCCUACGGGAGGCAGCAGUAGGGAAUCUUCCGCAAAGGGCGAAAGCUUGACGGAGCAACGCCGCGUGAGUGAUGAAGGUCUUCGGAUCGUAAAACUCUGUUAUUAGGGAAGAACAAAUGUGUAAGUAACUAUGUACGUCUUGACGGUACCUAAUCAGAAAGCCACGGCUAACUACGUG